CAUACUAUUAUGAUAAUAUUGAUACUAGGCAAGGCCGGAGGAUACUAUUGUGAUGGUAUUGAUACUCGACAAGGCUGGAGGAUACUAUUGUGAUGAUAUUGAUAUCCGGCAAGGACAAAGGAUACUCUUGUGAUGAUACUGAUACCCAGCAAGGUCUGAGGACAUUAUUGUGAUGAUAUUGAUACUUGAAAAGGCCAGAGAAUGCUAAUGUGAUGAUAUUGAUACUCG
RNAcentral lists this long non-coding RNA (228 nucleotides) under Capsicum annuum. RNAcentral describes it as "long non-coding RNA (CANN_LNC010605)". Lineage: Eukaryota; Viridiplantae; Streptophyta; Magnoliopsida; Solanales; Solanaceae. The record is from RNAcentral.